UACGUAGGUGGCGAGCGUUGUCCGGAAUUAUUGGGCGUAAAGGGCGCGUAGGUGGGAUAGUCAGUCUGUCUUAAAAGUGCGGGGCUCAACCCCGUGAUGGGGCGGAAACUGCUAUUCUUGAGUGCAGGAGAGGAAAGCGGAAUUCCCAGUGUAGCGGUGAAAUGCGUAGAUAUUGGGAGGAACACCAGUGGCGAAGGCGGCUUUCUGGACUGUGUCUGACACUGAGGCGCGAAAGCCAGGGGAGCGAACGGG
This 252-nucleotide ribosomal RNA is filed under the name uncultured bacterium. Its description in RNAcentral is "partial 16S ribosomal RNA". It matches the Rfam family "Bacterial small subunit ribosomal RNA", at positions 524 to 776 of the family's 1533-position model. The record is from RNAcentral.